UACAGCUAGUGACUGGUGGAAGUGGAAUUCAGAAUGUGAAAGUGGUUUAUAAAUCAGCCAGGGACCCUGACAGCUUGGACACUAGACUUCUCCGAGCCAUGGUAACAAAAGGCAUUAUUGAGCCAAUAUCCGAUACAAUCAUCAACCUUGUAAAUGCUGAUUUCAGUGCAAAGCAGAAGGGUCUUCGUAUUAGUGAAGAACGUGUUAUUGUUGAUUCGUCUCCAGAGUACCCUGUCGAGUCAAUCCAGGUUCAAAUUAGCAACGUGCAAUCAAGAUUUGCAAGUGCUUUAUCAGAGAAUGGUAAUAUCAGCAUCGAGGGGAAAGUGAAGUAUGGAGUUCCCCAUCUUACACGGGUUGGUUCAUUUAGCGUUGAUGUGAGCUUGGAGGGUAACCUCAUCCUUUGCAAACAAGUGGACCAACCUGGUAUGAUCGGGCAAGUUGGAAACAUACUUGGUGAGAGUAAUGUGAAUGUGAGCUUUAUG
Molecule: long non-coding RNA, 482 nt
Filed under: Nicotiana tabacum (common tobacco)
Lineage: Eukaryota; Viridiplantae; Streptophyta; Magnoliopsida; Solanales; Solanaceae
Description: long non-coding RNA (NTAB_LNC004917)
Source: RNAcentral